This 301-nucleotide ribosomal RNA is filed under the name uncultured bacterium. Its description in RNAcentral is "partial 16S ribosomal RNA". It matches the Rfam family "Bacterial small subunit ribosomal RNA", at positions 509 to 807 of the family's 1533-position model. The record is from RNAcentral.
CAGCAGCCGCGGUAAUACGAAGGGGGCUAGCGUUGCUCGGAAUGACUGGGCGUAAAGCGUGCGUAGGCGGUUCGUUAAGUCUGUUGUGAAAUCCCUGGGCUCAACCUGGGAAUGGCAGCGGAUACUGGAAGGCUAGAGUGCGGUAGAGGGUAGUGGAAUUCCCGGUGUAGCAGUGAAAUGCGUAGAGAUCGGGAGGAACACCAGUGGCGAAGGCGGCUACCUGGACCAGCACUGACACUGAGGCACGAAAGCGUGGGGAGCAAACAGGAUUAGAUACCCCUGUAGUCCCUGUCUCUUAUAC